Molecule: ribosomal RNA, 156 nt
Filed under: Cylindrocarpon sp. FKI-4602
Lineage: Eukaryota; Fungi; Ascomycota; Sordariomycetes; Hypocreales; Nectriaceae
Description: 5.8S ribosomal RNA
Rfam family: 5.8S ribosomal RNA
About the family: 5.8S ribosomal RNA (5.8S rRNA) is a component of the large subunit of the eukaryotic ribosome. It is transcribed by RNA polymerase I as part of the 45S precursor that also contains 18S and 28S rRNA.
Source: RNAcentral
AACUUUCAACAACGGAUCUCUUGGCUCUGGCAUCGAUGAAGAACGCAGCGAAAUGCGAUAAGUAAUGUGAAUUGCAGAAUUCAGUGAACCAUCGAAUCUUUGAACGCACAUUGCGCCCGCCAGUAUUCUGGCGGGCAUGCCUGUUCGAGCGUCAUU